AAUCAAUGGGGUUGUGAAGAGUCGUGAUGAGGAUAGUGAAGAAUGGUGCUGGUUGCCCGCUUGUAGUCAAUGAGAAGCCAGGGGAGGUGGAUGGACAAGAGGGGGGAACAAAAGACUUGAGGUCAAUUUUGCAGGUUGCUGUUGCUCCCUUGCUGAUCCCAAUUUAUUGCCACGUUAGUCCAAACAGACACUCAGCUUCCCAGUUGUUGCCC
This 212-nucleotide long non-coding RNA is filed under the name Lotus japonicus. RNAcentral describes it as "long non-coding RNA (LJAP_LNC000426)". The record is from RNAcentral. Lineage: Eukaryota; Viridiplantae; Streptophyta; Magnoliopsida; Fabales; Fabaceae.